UACGGAGGGUGCAAGCGUUAUCCGGAUUUACUGGGUUUACAGGGGGCGUAGGUGGCUUUGUAAGUCAGUGGUGAAAUCUCCGGGCUUAACCCGGAAACUGCCAUUGAUACUAUAAGUCUUGAAUUAUCUGGAGGUAAGCGGAAUAUGUCAUGUAGCGGUGAAAUGCUUAGAUAUGACAUAGAACACCAAUUGCGAAGGCAGCUUACUAGGCUGUAACUGACGCUGAGGCACGAAAGUGUGGGGAUCAAACAGG
This 253-nucleotide ribosomal RNA is filed under the name uncultured bacterium. RNAcentral describes it as "partial 16S ribosomal RNA". It matches the Rfam family "Bacterial small subunit ribosomal RNA", at positions 524 to 776 of the family's 1533-position model. The record is from RNAcentral.